Molecule: ribosomal RNA, 253 nt
Filed under: uncultured bacterium
Lineage: Bacteria
Description: partial 16S ribosomal RNA
Rfam family: Bacterial small subunit ribosomal RNA
Source: RNAcentral
UACGGAGGGUGCAAGCGUUGCUCGGAAUCAUUGGGCGUAAAGCGCACGUAGGCGGCUCGUUAAGUCGGAUGUGAAAGCCCUCGGCUCAACCGAGGAAGUGCAUACGAAACUGGCGAGCUUGAAUAUGGAAGAGGGUCGCGGAAUUCCCGGUGUAGAGGUGAAAUUCGUAGAUAUCGGGAGGAACACCAGUGGCGAAGGCGGCGACCUGGGCCAAUAUUGACGCUGAGGUGCGAAAGCGUGGGGAGCAAACAGG